GACGAACGCUGGCGGCGUGCCUAACACAUGCAAGUCGAGCGGAGUCGAUCGACGGAAGCCUUCGGGCGGAAGAUGGUUGACUUAGCGGCGGAUGGGUGAGUAACGCGUGGGCAACCUGCCUCGAAGACCGGGAUAACAGCCCGAAAGGGCUGCUAACACCGGAUGUGGUCAAGGAUCCGCAUGGAUUUUUGAUUAAAGGGGAAACCCGUUUCGAGAUGGGCCCGCGUCCUAUCAGCUAGUUGGUGAGGUAAAAGCUCACCAAGGCGACGACGGGUAGCCGGCCUGAGAGGGUGACCGGCCACACUGGAACUGAGACACGGUCCAGACUCCUACGGGGGCAGCAGUGGGGAAUCUUCCACAAUGGGCGAAAGCCUGAUGGAGCGACGCCGCGUGAGCGAAGAAGGCCUUCGGGUUGUAAAGCUCUGUCUGGAGGGACGAAGGAAGUGACGGUACCUCCGGAGGAAGCCCUGCUAACUACGUG
RNAcentral lists this ribosomal RNA (481 nucleotides) under uncultured bacterium. Its description in RNAcentral is "bacterial SSU rRNA". It matches the Rfam family "Bacterial small subunit ribosomal RNA", at positions 28 to 507 of the family's 1533-position model. The record is from RNAcentral.